Molecule: non-coding RNA, 73 nt
Organism: Podarcis lilfordi (Lilford's wall lizard)
Lineage: Eukaryota; Metazoa; Chordata; Lepidosauria; Squamata; Lacertidae
Source: the annotation of a GenBank genome assembly
CCCUUAGGUGGUGCAGUGGGUCAGCGCAUCUGGCUGUUAACCAGGAAGUUGGUGGUUCAAGCCCAGCCAGGGA